AUUUAAGUUGCUGCAGUUAAAAAUCUCGUAGUUGGAUCUUGGGUCGUAAAGGUCGGUCCGCCUACUCGGUGUGCACCUGCCCUUCCAUCCCUUUUGUCGGCGGCAUGCUCCUGACCUUAAUUGGCUGGGUCAUGGCUCCGGCGCUGUUACAUUGAAAAAUUAGAGUGCUCAAAGCAAGCUUAUGCUUUGAAUACAUUAGCAUGGAAUAACGUGAUAGGAGUCUGGUCCUAUUAUGUUGGCCUUCGAGACUGGAGUAAUGAUUAAUAGGGACUGACGAGGGCAUUUGUAUUUCAUUGUUAGAGGUGAAAUUCUUGGAUUUAUGAAAGACGGACCACUGUGAAAGCAUUUUCCAAGGAUGUUUUCAUUAAUCAAGAAUGAAAGUUGGGGGCUUGAAGACGAUCAGAUACCGUCCUAGUAUCAACCAUAAACGAUGCUGACCAGGGAUUGGCAGAUGUUGCUCUAAGGACUCCGCCAGCACCUUCUGAGUAAUUAGAGUGUUUGGGUUCCAGGGGGAGUAUGGUCGCAAGGUUGAAACUUAAAGGAAUUGAUGGAAGGGCACCACCAGGAGUGGAGCCUGUGGCUUAAUUUGACUCAACACGGGGAAACUUACCAAGUCCAGACAUAGUAAGGAUUGACAGAUUGAGAGCUCUUUCUUGAUUCUAUGGGUGGUGGUGCAUGGCCGUUCUUAGUUGGUGGAGAGAUUUUUCUGGUUAAUUCCGAUAACGAACGAGACCUCAGCCUGCUAACUAGCUACACGGAGGUUCCCCUUCACAGCCAGCUUCUUAGAGGGACUAUGGCCGUUUAGGCCAUGGAAGUUUGAGGCAAUAACAGGUCUGUGAUGCCCUUAGAUGUUCUGGGCUGCACACGCGCUACACUGAUGCAUCAAACGAGCUUUUCUUCCUAGUUCGAGAGGAUCAGGAAAUCUUCUCAAAUUGCAUCGUGAUGGGGAUAGACCAUUGCAAUUAUUGGUCUUCAACGAGGAAUUCCUAGUAAGCGCGUGUCAUCAACUCGUGUUGACUACGUCGCUGCCCUUUGUACACACCGCCCGUCGCUCCUACCGAUUGAAUGAUCCGGUGAGGUGUUCGUAUUGCGUCGAUGAUGGUGGUUCGCCGCCAUCGACGUCGUGAGAAGUUCAUUGAACCUUAUCAUUUAGAGGAAGGAGAAGUCGUAGCAAGGUUACCGUAGGUGAACUUGCUGUAG
RNAcentral lists this ribosomal RNA (1200 nucleotides) under Pinus taeda (loblolly pine). RNAcentral's name for it is "SSU rRNA". It matches the Rfam family "Eukaryotic small subunit ribosomal RNA", at positions 603 to 1823 of the family's 1831-position model. Lineage: Eukaryota; Viridiplantae; Streptophyta; Pinopsida; Pinales; Pinaceae. The record is from RNAcentral.